Long non-coding RNA from Gadus macrocephalus (Pacific cod), 732 nucleotides. RefSeq lists it as uncharacterized. The transcript has 3 exons. The record is from RefSeq and is a predicted model, not a curated record. Lineage: Eukaryota; Metazoa; Chordata; Actinopteri; Gadiformes; Gadidae.
AUUUUUUUGUUGCAUCGAUAAUCGGUUUAGAAUCUAAUCGUUUACCUCAUAAUCGGAAUCAAAUCGUGAGGUGCCAAGAGAUUCCCACCCCUAAAAAACAGUGUAGCAUAAUUUGCAUCAAUGGAUUGAAAGUAUUGUUUAGGUUAUUAUUAAGAGUUACUGAGUAGAUUCUCUUUAUGUAGUGACUCAGAGACAUGCACCGUCCAGAGCCCAGAGCGAACACUGUGAGAGGCAAGAGAGGGUGGAAGCCAGUGCUCCUCCAUCCGAUGAUGGGAUGGACCUACCGGGACAGCGAGGGCCAAAUGAAGCUAUGAAUCACUUUGCAGAUUUCAUUCCUAUUGAUAUUGAAGAAGAUGAAGCCAUUGAGGAGGCCAUCAGACGCAGUCUUUUAGAAGAGUCUGUGCAGGCCUUACAGGAUUCAAGGUUUGCAGAAAGUUUGAGCAUAGAAGAAAUGACAGGAAUUGUGAAAGCUCACAGUGAGAGGGUUGUCACAGAAGCAUACAGACCAAUCUACAUCAGCCGAGGGAACGUGUGGACAACUGCCCUCCGACAGUUUAGUAGACGGAAAUUCACUGAGUGCACCGAUCUGCUGUAUGUCACCUUUGCCAGUGACGAAGGCACCAACGAAGAUGGAGAAGACCUCGGAGGGCCACGGCGAGAAUUCUUCCGUCUGCUUGUGAAAGCCAUCUUCAAAGAGAGUGGAGCAUUUGAAGGUAAUCUUUUUUUUUUUUU